RNAcentral lists this long non-coding RNA (2833 nucleotides) under Equus caballus (horse). RNAcentral's name for it is "lncRNA (ENSECAG00000060233.1)". Lineage: Eukaryota; Metazoa; Chordata; Mammalia; Perissodactyla; Equidae. The record is from RNAcentral.
GCCCACUUCAUUCAGAAGCCACCUGGGGGCUGAGGAGCUCCCAGAGGCGUGGCCCACCUUUGGCCUGGCUCCUCCCUCGCGGGCUCAGCACCAGGUCCAGGUGGGGAGCCCAGGUGCAGCCAUAAUCUGGGUGUGGGUAAGGAGUGGGCUCGGGGGACCCACGCAGCCUCGGCCACAGGGAAAAGUCCCAGCAGCUGGAGGAGGAGGAGACCUCCAUUCUCCUGGCUUGGCCACUAAUGAGCUGGGUGUGAUGCUGGGUAAACCAUUCGCCUCUCGGGCCUCAGCUUCCUCCCUCACCUGCAAGAGGAAGGCCUGAGAUGAGCUCCCUGGUCCCUAAGGUGCCUUGACCUCUCAUUGUGAUUCCAGCCGCUUUGCUGUCAACUCAGUGAGAGGUUGUCCCCUCAGGGACUUCCAGAAAGGACUCCUGACUGACGGAAUCACAGCUUCUGUGGUUUGUGUCCUCAUGAAACCCUGGGACAACCAUGAAGGGGGAAAGCUCCUUCACGCCAGAUUGCAGCCUGGGGACAGAGCACCCAUAGGUUCCUCUCCCCGAUGCUGCCUAAUCCUCCCCAAGACUGCCGCCUGAGACCCUCCAGAUUCCAAGGAAGGUCCAGGGAGCCCAGGCAUCCCUUCCCGACCAUCUUCCUUCUUCUCCCUUGCCUCCCAUUUCAGGACCAAGCUCCUCUGAGGGCAAAGGCUGUUUCUUAGAUUGAUAGGAUUCUCCCCACCACACAAACACACACACACAGAGCCAGCUUUCAGAACUGAACUCCAAGAAGAACUAUUUAAUCUUUACCCCCGUCCCCCCGUGCCUGCCUUGCCUCCUCCUCGAGCUGCAUCUGUAACCCCCACAGAGCAGGGCUGUGCCUUCUCCCAGGGUCCAACCUGGCCUAGCCUCGCCUGUCUCUGACCCUUACUUUCUCCCUUUCUCUGCUGCCCUGCAGGGUCCUUCACACCCAAGAGGUAAAACAACUGCCUUUCUCAUUCCUCCCUCUCCUACCCUGGGCCUCAGCCCUCCUAACUUGGCCCCGGCAGUGCCCUCUCCUCAAUAGACAGAGGCCCCAGGCACUCGGGGUCCCAGUUCCCAGAGCCUCGGGGACUCUGUCCAUCACAGAGGAGGUUUCCUCUCAAAGCCUUGGUCUCUGCCCUGGAGGAGGGUGAGUGGGGAUGUGAUGGCCUCCAGGAGGGUCGCUGGAGUGCCUAGGGCUGAUGGCCCAGUCUCUCUGCUCAGCCUCCCUGGCCCCUACCCUCUAGGUUUCACCCUUGCCUGGGAUGGGGUUGGGGGUGUGUGCCAGUCGUGGGUCACAGACAAGGAGGAGAGAGUCUAGAAGUCACAAGGCAAAGGUGGGGGCCUCUGCCAACAGGAGGAGAUAAAGCUAAGGGGCAGUCCAUGUGGGCGCUGGCCUCUGGGUGCUGAGGAACACUCAAGGAGCAUCUGCUGAGGUUCUCGGGUGACAGCUACCUGGCAGGGCUGGCGAGUUUCCAGGUGCUGCUUUGGCGAGACUCACUCUUCUCUACCCUGAGGGAGCAAAAAUCCUUUCCCUGGGGCUGCCAAGCUCCCCAGAGGAAAGCGGGCCUCACGGCUGCAUGUUAAACCUCAUUCCUCAGCCUCGGCGAUGGCAGGGCUUGCCUCUCACCGGUGUCUGCCGAAGCCUCUGCCACCACAGGAUUGCAGCUCGUGCUUCUAAGGGCACCGAAAACCUCAUCUAAGUUCAGUCUGCACUACAACGUCCCCGUCAAGUUCUCAAACUCAACGCUUCCCGGGGUCACAGAGUCCUGCCUUGGAGAGAGAGGGAUUGCUUGAGCAGAGUUCAGCAGAGAAUGGCUCAUCUCUGCUCCAUGCAGUGUAUCCAGGUGGGGUUCAUCCGGCAAGUCGACGCUGGCCGUCACCUGGGAGCUCAGCUAGGCUGUGGGCAGGCGGCCUCAGUUCCCCUCCACAUGAGCCUCUCCGUGGGCUGCCCGGACUUCCUCCCAGCAUGUGAACUGUAUUCCAAGAGCAAGCAUCCACAUAGCAUUACUUUUGCUACCCUCCAUUGAUUGAGGCAGACAUAAAGGCUCACCCAGGACGCAGAUAAAAAGUCCUGCUUGGGAUCAACGGGAGGAGUCCUGGACUCCACUUUUCGAUGGGGCAGUAGCAAAGUUCUGGAAAACUAUGUGAGAUGGAAGAGAUUGUUCUUUUCAGAAUAUAAUCUGCCACAGAGCUGUCUCUUGCACUGCUGGUAGUAGUAUAAACUGAUAGAAUCUUUGGGAAAUAUGUAAUUUGUAAUGUAAUGUAACUGGUAAUAUGUUUUAAAAGCUUUGAGAAAAUAUAUAACCUUUGAUCCAACAAUUCUAUUUCUGGAGUUUAUCCUAAAGAAGUAAUUGAGGAUAUUUACUAAGAUUGCUAUAUGAUGAAUAUUUAUAAUAUCAAAAUAAGAUUGACCUAAAGUCCAAAAUGGGAGAUUGAUUAAAUUCUGGAAUAUCAUUACAAUGGAAUAGAACAUGGCCACCAGAAAUGAUUCAAAUGUGUAUUUUUUAACCUGAAAAUAUUUCCACACCAUGUUGUUAAGUGAAAAUAUGAAGUUGCAAAAACAGUUCUGUAUAGUAUGAUCUUAUUUUUGAAAAAAGAAAAUACAUAUAUACUUAUGGAUACUGAAUGCCUGGGUAAAACCUGGAAUAUAUACAGCAAAAUGCUAAUAGUGGUUAAUAGUGGUAGGAUUAUAGGUGUUUGUUUUUCUUUUUACUUAUCUGUAUUUUUCUCAUUUUUAUUAAAUAAAUAUUUAUUCUACAAUUAAAAACACUUUUAAUGGGCCAAGAAUAUGAACUGUCAAUUCAUAAAAGAAGAAUUACAAAG